UACGUAGGGUGCAAGCGUUGUCCGGAAUUAUUGGGCGUAAAGAGCUCGUAGGCGGUUUGUCGCGUCGGCUGUGAAAACCUGGGGCUCGACCCCGGGCCUGCAGCCGAUACGGGCAAGCUAGAGUUCGGUAGGGGAGACUGGAAUUCCUGGUGUAGCGGUGAAAUGCGCAGAUAUCAGGAGGAACACCGGUGGCGAAGGCGGGUCUCUGGACCGAAACUGACGCUGAGACGCGAAAGCGUGGGGAGCAAACAGG
This 253-nucleotide ribosomal RNA is filed under the name uncultured bacterium. RNAcentral describes it as "partial 16S ribosomal RNA". It matches the Rfam family "Bacterial small subunit ribosomal RNA", at positions 524 to 776 of the family's 1533-position model. The record is from RNAcentral.